Molecule: long non-coding RNA, 3977 nt
Organism: Mustela erminea (ermine)
Lineage: Eukaryota; Metazoa; Chordata; Mammalia; Carnivora; Mustelidae
Exons: 4
Source: RefSeq, a predicted model, not a curated record
CACAGCCCACUCAAAUGAAGCUUCAAGGUUAGUGACCAGCAGAAGAGCGCAGCAGCUCUCUCUAGAACACGAAGUGAGUUUGUGGCAGAACUAGACCUUGGAUUCCAUCCAGCAACACUCAACAAGUCCCCUUUUCUGGGCUCAGUUGUGGGCAGGUUUCUGGGAUAAGACCCAGGCCCUGCACUCCAGGAACUCCCAAUCUCAACACAUGGACUAAAGGUAGUAACCGUGAGUCCAGAACAUGCAGGGUCAGGAGAGUCAUAGGGACCCAGAUUCCACCAGGUGGUAGCAGGGGCCUAAGACCAGAGGUAGGUUCCUAAGAGGCAGGCACUGGGACAGGGAAUUAUCUGGGCAGCUGGUGCCAGGGAGUGUUAGAGCUUGGGUGGGGGUGAGGGACAGCCAGUCCCAGGGCUAUAGUAGGAGCUGACGGUCACAUGGGUUUGAUAUCACGAAGCAGGAAACCAAGGUCUUUGCCAGGCACUUGCUGAAUGUGACCUUUUUGGCACAGCUAUGUAAUCUAUAAAGAACUGAGGAGCUACGCAAGCUAGCGACUGCCCAUCCUGGGACAGACACAUCAGGGAAGGUUGAAUGACUGUCUAUGUGGGACACCAACAAGGGCCUUCCCAUUGCGAGCUGCAUGGUGAUCACAACUCUGGGAAACUUGGACUGAUAGGUAAAAUAGUCAGGUUUGAGAGGAGGAGGAUUGUCAUCACAGGGACUUGGGGUCAGGUAAACCUGGGUUAGGUGUUUGGUUCCUCUUCCGCCUGGCUUUGGGUUCCUGACCAAGUUCUGAAAUCUCUUUUCAACUGAGUUCCCUUGUCCUUAAAAGGCAAAUGAUGACUUUUUGCAGGGUUGUGGUGGGAAUUAAAUGGGAAUGUUUACGUAAACCGUGCUGGCCCACCAAUGUGAGCUUCCUUUGUAUGUGCAUGUGUUUUCCUUCAGUUUCCCUUCAUUUUGUUUUCAUUUUAUUUGUAAAUGUAAAAAACAAAACACAAAAAGAGGAAUUCCCAUGGGAGGGUGUUGAGCUCAACUCUAGUCCCAGUUUUACCCCUGACUCAUCGCAAAGACCCGGGAAGUCCCAGACCUCCUUCCACCUUCGUUUCCUCAUCUGGAACACAGGGACUUCCACCAGGGAGUUUCUUCAAAGCCCAACCUGAAGGCUUGAGAUGCUACCCCUUUGAGAGUCCCUUCUGUGUUGAGGACCCCCCAGGCUGAGCGGAGGAAAGGAGUGGAGAUGGGGGUCAGGCAGUGACCAGGGGAAGGAGAUGGGAGUUGUAGGGGAGGGACAGCAGCACGAGGAGGCGACAGCUCUUCAACCCCAUUGCCCUGGCCCAUGAAACGGGCAGGCCCCACUCAGCUUGGGAAGCCUGCCACCUAUUUUCCCACAGCCUGCCCAGUUAAUGCCAAAACAAAACACACUUGUCUGCUCCCUGCUGGAGGGCAGUGAGCCAAAAUGAGUGUCCUGGAGGCCUGGCAGAUGCCCUGGCAUCUUGCCUCUCCUCCCUGGGCACCCACCCUUCCCCUGUCUGCAACAUAUCCACACACCCGUGGCCUGUGGCCUGUGGCCUGUGGCCUGUGGGAGCUGAGCUCCACCCUCAGCCAAAACUGGCCCAGGCUGCAGAGAGGAGCUUCCUCAGGACCUGUCCUCCCCCGUCUCAUUUUCAGGGCUCCUAAGUGGACAUGCCAACACCUAAACCUGCCUGUCUUUCCAGUCCAGCUUUGGCCCUGAGAUGUGAUCUAAUUCUCACCAUGCUGCUGUGGGCAGAGGACGUGGCAUCAGAAGCUGGGAGCUGCUGUCAGUCGCUACGGGAGGGAAUUCCCUGGCUCAGGAAAGCUCUUCCAGAGGAAGGGAGCAGGUGGUGCGUCUCCCCGAAGAGACAGACACCGCCAACGCUGUAGGCAGAGCCAGUCCUGGGAUCUCUGGAGGAGAUCUUCUUUGUCACUGUAUCCCCAGCACCUAGGACAAGGCACACUGAAUGGCUGGAUUUGAAAGCCUGAAGUCCCAAAAGUUUACAGCCACGGAACAUUAAGUGUGGGCAGCCAGAACACUUGUGGGCAGAGUCUGAUGAGACAGAGGCACCUGCAUCAAGGUAGCAUUGACUGGCAUGGAGAACCAAGAUCACUGAAUUAAACACGCCUCAAGACAGAGCAUGGUUGCACCCCAGCUUCGGCAAGGUCAUCAAGGCAUCCCCGGUACAGCUGUGGAAAGAGCCAAAGACCAGCCAUACCCCUCUCAGAUCCCGUGAACUGGCCUUGUGUGGAGGAGGUGGAGCCCGUGAAGCACUCAGCACAGGGCCAAGCCCGUAACUACUGCCCAGGGGAGGUAAGUAGUCUUAGCCCUUCCCAUACCUGGAUAAGUUGGAAUGUGCCUGCCUUCUCCUCGUGACCUCCCACAGCCCCCGUCUUAGAGGUGGGGUGAGUUGUUCAGCCGCUUAAUCGAGUCUUUCCAUGGGGCUGAGAACCCCAGCCCUGAGUUCUUUGUAUCUUUGGUCCGAGCAGGCUAUACCUCACCUCCUGCCACGUGUGUGGACAGCCUGAGAUGACUCUGUGCUGGACUCUGACCCGAUUAAUGUUACUGAAUCCUUACAUCGGUCUGGGAGGAUAGGGAUCACUGUCCCCAUUUUACAGAGGGGGAAGCUGAGGCUUGGAGAGGCUGCUGUCUGCUCUCAGAACAGCCUCCUGAGACAGAUAAGACAAACAGGGCCAAUAACUCUGGGUAAGCAGAAAAAAAUGGGGGGGGGGGCGCUUGCUGGAGAACUUGCAGAGGAAGCUCACUUUUGCUUCCCUUAGAGGACUUUCGAGCCAGGAAGGUUUUCAGGGAGAAGAGGAUGAAGAGAGCAUCCAAGAGGUAGAAACAGUGAGAGGCUGGGCACUGAGAUGGGAUUCCCUGAAGUCUAGCAGUUCUCAGGCAGUCUUUCUGCCUGGGCUAAAGCCCAGGAUCCAAGCAGACAGUGGGUUGGGACCAUAAGCAGAGGGAUUGGUGGGACACCAUAGGGCUUUUUACAUCCCUGUCUCUGGGCUGGAUCCUGCCUGAGGCUAACAUUCACAUUCCCUCAUCUGUAGCUAAGGACCUCUUUGUUUCUGUUGGAAGGAGAUCUCUGCUAGGGCAUUUAUGGGUCACUGCUGGGAGGACCCAAAAUAGGGCAUAGAUGGGAGAAACAAUUUAGUAUCUAUUUUGUGCAAAGCCCUAAAAUGGGGAUCAAAGGGACUCAGUCGCCUUGUCCUAGGAACACUGUGAGGAUCAAAGGGACUCAGUCGCCUUGUCCUAGGAACACUUGGGCUGGGGAGCAUACUGACUGCCACAAACAGGUGAUGAGCUAGUCCAUGAGAAACAGGGCCCAGGACUGUGGGUGCUCAGAGAAAGCGCCCAGCUUCUGGGGGUGGAGGUUCUCCCUGGCCAGACUGGGCCAACCUGGUAGCUAGGUAACCAACAGAAUCAGCAGUCCUAGUAGGAAGGAGAACCCCCAGUUCUUUGACUGCCUCUCCAGGGGGAGAAUCAGAUCCAGGAAGAAGUGGGGCCCCUCCAAAGGCCCAGCAGGGUAAACCAGGCCUCCCCAUGUGAACACCUUCCCACAGCGGGGUGGGAUCUGGGCAUGGCCCCGUGAACAGGGUCUGUUGAACAGGGGCUUGGCUUCCAGAAGGUGUGAUGGCGUCUCACUGUUCUACAUGACCUCUAUAGCUCAUACAGUAGGUGUGAUGCUCUGAACUUACCAUUUGCCAGCUGUCUGGCACCAGACCAACCCAGAGACCUAUUCUCCCCUCUCCUACUAAGGUACAUGGGGCCAGGACCUCUCUCAAGUGCUCUGGCCACUUCUCCGAGGGUGUGCACAGUGCUGAAGUCCCCUGGGCCUAGAACCCAACUCAAAACUUGCAUUUUGCUGCAGAGCCUCUGAGAAAGGGUUGCAUCUAUGAUGGUGAGAAUACAGGCAGUGUGCUCUCACCAUCAUAGAUGCAACCCCGAUCCAACUCAUAAGUGU